This 477-nucleotide ribosomal RNA is filed under the name Candidatus Kuenenia stuttgartensis. Its description in RNAcentral is "bacterial SSU rRNA". It matches the Rfam family "Bacterial small subunit ribosomal RNA", at positions 365 to 832 of the family's 1533-position model. Lineage: Bacteria; Pseudomonadati; Planctomycetota; Candidatus Brocadiia; Candidatus Brocadiales; Candidatus Brocadiaceae. The record is from RNAcentral.
UUCGCAAUGCCCGAAAGGGUGACGAAGCGACGCCGCGUGUGGGAAGAAGGCUCUAGGGUUGUAAACCACUGUCAGGAGUUAAGAAAUGUAGAGGUGUUGAUAGCGCCUUUAUUUGACGAAGGCUCCAGAGGAAGCCACGGCUAACUCUGUGCCAGCAGCCGCGGUAAUACAGAGGUGGCAAGCGUUGUUCGGAAUUAUUGGGCGUAAAGAGCACGUAGGCGGUCCUGCAAGUCUGUUGUGAAAUCCUUCCGCUUAACGGGAGAACGGCAGCUGAUACUACAGGACUAGUGUACGGGAGGGGAGAGUGGAACUUCUGGUGGAGCGGUGAAAUGCGUAGAUAUCAGAAGGAACGCCGGCGGCGAAAGCGACUCUCUGGCCCGAAACUGACGCUGAGUGUGCGAAAGCUAGGGGAGCAAACGGGAUUAGAUACCCCGGUAGUCCUAGCCGUAAACGAUGGGCACUAAGUAGAGGGGUUUU